GAAGUAUUCCUCCGUCCAACAAAGAUGUCUCAAGUUUGUCAAAAUUUGAAUGGAUCGAAACAUUAUUUAGUGUAUAGAUGCAUUCAAAUUUGAUGAAACUUGAGACAUCGUUUAUUAGACAGAGGGAGUACAAA
This is a non-coding RNA of Brachypodium distachyon (stiff brome), 134 nucleotides long. The record is from Rfam. Lineage: Eukaryota; Viridiplantae; Streptophyta; Magnoliopsida; Poales; Poaceae.